RNA transcript from Macadamia integrifolia, 1040 nucleotides. It is a transcript of the gene named bax inhibitor 1-like, with no coding region annotated. NCBI's taxonomy places the organism in Eukaryota, Viridiplantae, Streptophyta, Magnoliopsida, Proteales, Proteaceae. The transcript has 3 exons. The record is from RefSeq and is a predicted model, not a curated record.
GGGGGGCCUUCAUACUGUUGUUGGAUGCGCUAUCUAUAUCUGGGCAUUAGCAGAAUCUAGGACCUUUUCUUCCUUAAAAGAAAUCUUGCUUGGAGGAUGCUACUUAAUGGCAUUGGUUAAUAAUUUCUCUUAAAGGUGAAAAAUUCUGUCAAAUGGUCGUGGUGUUAGUAAUUAAUGCCAGAAAUGGACUUUAGGUUUGUGGAGUUUUUUUCUGCUAUUCAAGAUGUUUUUGGAGGACUCAUUUGUGCAUGGAGAUUGCGAAACAGUUUUGAUCCUCACUCUAAGGGCCCGAUUGAUAACAGUUCGUUCCAUCUAUUUCUACGUUUUUCUGUUUUAAGAAACGGAGAAACAUGAACAAAAUCGUUUGAUAACGGUGUUCCAUUUACUGACUUUUAUGAAUAGAAAUAUAACUUUAUAUUUAUUUAUGGUUCAAGAAACGGAUUUGACGAAACUGCUACUUGUUUCGCCGUUUAUAGAAACAACAAUCGUGCAAAAAACUAAAUCCACCCCCGAUGAAAGUCUCAUUGUUUCGAAAGACAGAACCCACAUUCCUCCUAGCUGCGAUUGCAUCAACAGAGCACCGAUUCCCUCUGAAGUUGCAGAGAUUCUUCUGGCGAGUGCGCUCCCGUGAAGGCAGAGGACUUGUCUCCCUCUCUAACACAGUUCGAUCCUUACCCAUUUACAGGUUUAUCUCUCACUUGGGUGCGCUCUAACGGCUUCGGCUGUAGGAGUCUACCUGCAUCUUUUGUGGAACAUCGGUGGCAUACUCACUACUUCGGCAUGCAUGGGAAGCAUUGUAUGGCUACUUUCCACUCCUACAUAUGAAGAGAGGAAGAGGGUAGGUCUCUUAAUGGCAGCGGCCCUUUUUGAAGGAGCUUCAAUCGGUCUUCUAAUGAGCUAUUGUAUCAUGUCCAGAGGGAUCAAAACAUGAAUGUCACUAUCUGAGAUAGGGAAAGUCCUGACCAUUGUCGUGUUUGGGAACGUUUUUAGAAACAGCUUUUAUCAAAUAUAAAAAAGAAAAUUGUUUUUAUUUUUGAAAA